GGGGGGGGGGGGGGGGGGGCCGAAGGGGGGGAGGGCGGGGGGGGGGACGAGGAGCGGGGGGCUGUGAUGUUAGCGGCGGAGGGGGGAGUAACACGUGGAUAACCUAGCUAGAAGACUGGGAUAACGUCGGGAAACCGGAGCUAAUACCGGAUAAUAUUUUGAACCGCAUGGUUCAAAAGUGAAAGACGGUCUUGCUGUCACUUAUAGAUGGAGCCGCGCUGCAUUAGCUAGUUGGUAAGGUAACGGCUUACCAAGGCAACGAUGCAUAGCCGACCUGAGAGGGUGAUCGGCCACACUGUAACUGAGACACGGUCCAGACUCCUACGGGAGGCAGCAGUAGGGAAUCUUCCGCAAUGGGCGAAAGCCUGACGGAGCAACGCCGCGUGAGUGAUGAAGGUCUUCGGAUCGUAAAACUCUGUUAUUAGGGAAGAACAUAUGUGUAAGUAACUGUGCACAUCUUGACGGUACCUAAUCAGAAAGCCACGGCUAACUACGUG
This 497-nucleotide ribosomal RNA is filed under the name uncultured bacterium. RNAcentral's name for it is "partial 16S ribosomal RNA". The stretch from base 54 to 497 matches the Rfam family "Bacterial small subunit ribosomal RNA", at positions 39 to 507 of the family's 1533-position model. The record is from RNAcentral.